GUUGAUUGCAAGUCCCACAUCCUUUAGUGUGGGAGAAUAAGGAGAAAGCCAAGGCUAUAUAUUGGGUUUUGGUCCUUUGUUUUCAAAUGCACUAGUCAACCAUAUCACUUUAAGCUUGUAGCUGACUUAGUUUAAAUAUUUGCUUUGUAAGAGUGUGGUUGUACUGGGGUGUCUGGUGUGAGUGAGAGAAGUCUAUGUGUAACAAUUUUCACAUAGUGUUAAUUCUCUGGUUAUGCUAUUUUUCCCAACAACCGAUAUCAGAGCAUACUAAGAAAAAUUAUCCUACCAAACCUCCGAACCUGGCUCUGAUACCAGUUGUUAGCAUAAGUUCAAAAGAAUUAAGACACAAUCACAACACAAAAAUAUAACGUUGAAACUCCAAAACCGCAAAAAUAUAACGUGGAAACUCCAAAACCGGAGAAAAAACCACGACCGCUGCCUAAACCAGCAACCAGAGAAUUAACACUAUGUAAAAAUUGUUACAACACAUAGACUUCUCUCACUCACACCAGGCAAAUAUUUAAACUAAGUCAGAUACAAGCUUAAAGUGCUAUGGUUGACUGGUGCAUUUGAAAACAAAGG
Molecule: long non-coding RNA, 582 nt
Filed under: Cicer arietinum (chickpea)
Lineage: Eukaryota; Viridiplantae; Streptophyta; Magnoliopsida; Fabales; Fabaceae
Description: long non-coding RNA (CARI_LNC001497)
Source: RNAcentral